Long non-coding RNA from Suricata suricatta (meerkat), 802 nucleotides. RefSeq lists it as uncharacterized. The transcript has 4 exons. The record is from RefSeq and is a predicted model, not a curated record. NCBI's taxonomy places the organism in Eukaryota, Metazoa, Chordata, Mammalia, Carnivora, Herpestidae.
UCAGCCUAUUCUGUGUGUGUCACCUUUUUGUGCAGGGCUGUUUAUGCUACCAAUGACCUGUUUUCAGGUCAGAACUGAGUUAUUUAUCUUCUCUUUUCUUGGGACUCUCUUAGCUUCGUUUUGUUGACUGUAACCACCGAUUUUGCUUGUUCUUCUACCUCUUUGCUGUGAAUUUUUAGGAGGCUAUUUUGAAUGUCUGCCCAUUCUUGAUUAAAGAGGUAAUUGUGAGACAGGAAACCAUUGAGAGGAAAACAUAGGCAGUAACCUCUUUAACAUCAACCGAGCAGCUUCUUAUAAGAUCUAUAGGAAGACAAAUUCUAAUAAGAAAGUUCUUUGCUGAGGGUGGCGUCCAAACAAGCCAACUUAAUCAAAAGCAGAAUGUUUAAUGCCUCCUCUAUUCAGUAGCCCAGUGUGCCCCUCUACAAUGAAAUGGACUGGAUUUGGCAUUGUCAUCAUUGACCAUGGGCUCUCCAGACAAAGUCUGACCAUCAGCAGCAACAGAGAAGUCAAGACUUUUCUUUCAGCUUUUGCCUUGCCACCUUCUGAAGCAUCUUCUGGGGCAAGGCAGAAUAUAUUUUGUUUUCCCCUCUGCUGUUAUCCAAUUAUUCCCAGACACUUUUCAUAUUCUUUCUGAAUCUUCCAUUUGAUGUAGUGGUUAGAAGCAUGGACUAUGGAGCUAGACUCUCUCUGUUCUUAAUCCUGGCUCUGCCAUUUAUGAGCUGCAUGACUUUGCAAAAUGUAAGCCCUCGGUUCUUCAGUCUCUGUUUAUAAAAUGGAGCUGCUAUGAGAAUGGCAUCCCAGA